AGGACGAACGCUGGCGGCGUGCUUAACACAUGCAAGUCGAACGGUAAGGCCCCUUCGGGGGUACACGAGUGGCGAACGGGUGAGUAACACGUGAGCAACCUACCCUUGACACUGGAAUAACAGCUGGAAACAGCUGCUAAUACCGGGUACGACCUUCUGCGGCAUCGUAGAAGGUGGAAAGCCCUGGCGGUCAAGGAUGGGCUCGCGGCCUAUCAGCUAGUUGGUGAGGUAACGGCUCACCAAGGCUUCGACGGGUA
This 257-nucleotide ribosomal RNA is filed under the name uncultured bacterium. RNAcentral describes it as "partial small subunit ribosomal RNA". It matches the Rfam family "Bacterial small subunit ribosomal RNA", at positions 26 to 285 of the family's 1533-position model. The record is from RNAcentral.